CAUGGCUGCUGGGCAGCCAGGUCAACCGGACGGCAAGGCAGGGGUUGGCCGGGGAAGCACUGCGCCGCCCCUGCAUGCCCUGCAUCCUCGGGUCCUGGGAGGGCUGCUCAGUAACUGGAAGGAAAAUGAAACUGAAAAAGAGCAAGGGUCCCGUAGGAUUGAACACAGUUGGUGAAACUUGGGCCGUCUGCCUCAAGUCCCCGCUUGGCAAAACCACUCCCUCCUGGUGGACGCCCUCACCAUGAAGAGUUAUAGUAAGGUGUUGGUGAGGCUGGCUGCUCUGGUUGCUAAGAGAGACCCGGCCUGCCACACUCCUAAGAGACACAGAAGACCAGCCUACCCUUCCCUUGCCUCCCGUGACACUGCCCUGCAGGUGGCUGGCCAAGAGAAGCCUGCCCGGCGACGCUGAGGCACCGAACAUGAGCAGGGGAGGAAGGAAUGCCUGGGAGCAGCUGAGCCGAGCCCCUGCCACCAGCCUCCUCCGCACGCCCGUGGAAUCAGCACUUUCUGCUUCCCGCCCCUGAGAGCCUUGCUCUGGGGCCACUCACAGCCAAUUAAGUGGGGAUGUUGUAAGAGACUCUAAAAUACGUGGAGCUGGCUGAGGACGCGGGACCGACCCCAUUAUGUGUGUGUGAGGCUGAUUAAAGUGUUACCUGUCACCAGGUGUCGCCAGUGACAGUGCUGUAGGAAAGAGUAAGCUGGAAAGAACAUCCCCCACUUCCCUGACCAGAUACAUCCAGAGGGGAGGCAAGUGGAGACUGGCUGUCUGUAGGGAGUGGAGAAAUGGCAGGUCCAGCUUGGGCUGGUGUCCUCUUCCUCAGAAAGUGCUGUGGGUGAACCCAGAGUCUCAGGGAGCAGAAGCCCCCCUCGCUGGCUUUCUUCACGCGGGGUCCUCGGCAAGCUGCUCUGCACUGCGGAGAACGUGCGCCUUGUCCUCAGAAGACGAGGAAGAGCAGGGCCUCAUGCCGGGGCAGUACGAUGUUCUCCACAGUGCGCUCCAUGGCGCGCACCUGCUCCGGGGAGGCUGUCAGGAACGCCAGGGGCCCGAUGCGCUGCUCCGCACAGGAGUGGCAGAGGUAGCCCCCCUUGUUUUCCUUCC
This 1099-nucleotide long non-coding RNA is filed under the name Homo sapiens (human). RNAcentral describes it as "HSALNT0158285". The record is from RNAcentral. Lineage: Eukaryota; Metazoa; Chordata; Mammalia; Primates; Hominidae.